This is a non-coding RNA of Vicugna pacos (alpaca), 279 nucleotides long. The record is from RefSeq and is a predicted model, not a curated record. Lineage: Eukaryota; Metazoa; Chordata; Mammalia; Artiodactyla; Camelidae.
AUAUACUCUAAACCUCAGUUUUCAUGUCUGUGAGAUGAGUGUAUUAUUUCAGCUUUUUCUUGUACAUAGGAUGGAAAUGAUGAUUUUGACCUUCUAGACAGUCUUGAUCUCAUGAAUGUCCAUAUUGAGUAACCUAUUGACUGGGCAAAGGUUGUUGCCAUGUGAGAGCAGCACUGGAGUCAAGAGGCCCAUGAACCAGCCAGCACUGCUCUCAGGGAGACUUGGAUUAUGUGAGUUUGUGCAAGGACUGUAGAAUAUCUCCUUAGCAAAAAAAAAAAA